Molecule: long non-coding RNA, 2300 nt
Organism: Strigops habroptila (Kakapo)
Lineage: Eukaryota; Metazoa; Chordata; Aves; Psittaciformes; Psittacidae
Source: Ensembl
UUUUUUUUUUUUUUCUGUUCAAGACUUUUUCUACCUUUCCUGUCUACUACAUGAUCUGAUCUCCUAGGCUCUGAGCUUUUGUGCAAGCUACCACAGGACACACUAAGGGUUGUGUUUCAUACCUGCCCUUCUAUGGUAGCUGGCACCAGGUUAUCAUGGAGUAACUGCUGUGGUUCCACUUUACAACCUAGCAAAUCAGAGGCUGACUUGUGUGCCAAAACAAAAAUAUACUUUUUCCACAGAAUUUGUUAUGGCAAGGGCUUUCCUCCAUUUAAUUUCGGGUCUUGUUAGCUAUUUUAGUUAGUCUGCUGUGGGUGUUGUGGGUAGUAUUUUGCUUUGCCCAUUCGCAGUGCUUGCCUGAAGGUGGCGUUUUUCUGGUUUAUUAUCUUAGGCUAGCUGCCUCUUGUGAGGCGCAAGUCUGCAGAUCCAUUUGUCCGAUCUCUUUCCUUGUGUAUGUAACUUGCAGUCCCCUUCUCCAUCUGCAGUAUCAGGAGCUGAGUGGUCAAAGCUCUUCCGCUGCUGUCUUUGGGAUAAAUCUGUGUUCUGAUAUUUCAUCAGUGGACUCCAGCGCACAUAACCUUUCUGGCAAAAGAGGAUUUCUCUCUGUCUUGGAGGCCAGAGCCUUCUGUUAGCUAUGAUCUCAGAGCAAGUUUCACUAACAGGUUUUAACACACCAUCUCCUGUAUGUCUCUCUUGAAAGCAGCUAUGUGGAAAGCUACAUAGGUAUUUGGAAGCACAUCUAUUUCUUUUUCAGCACUACAAUCUAGCUGACUGCAAGAACCUUCCCUUUUAAAACAAGUAUAAAGCAAAAGGCAGGGAAAACACAAGGACUGAAAGCUAUGCUGACUUGAAGACCUGGUUUCUAGUACACCCAAUUCAACAAAAAGGGUCCUUUUGGUUUCAAACAUUUUGGUCAAGGACUUUCUGAACUAAGAAUCAAUGACUUAUCAAUUGUUUCUUUAUUAGUUAAGGGGUCUUCAGCUUCAAGGAAAUGCUGUGGGCAGAAUAUACAUUAGCUUUCUUUUUAAUUUUUAUUAUUUUUUUAUUAACUAGGAGAGGUUUGAAGGCAACUUUAAAAAAAGUCUCCUGAAGUCCUCACCUUUCCAGUUCUGUUACGUGAUGUUUAUUUUAUGCCACAGUGCUGUGUAGAUAGAGACUUCAACCAAGCUGGUCAACUUCCCCAUCCCAGCUGCUCUCACACUUGCUCACAGAGCUGCAGCAGCUCACUGUCUUGCCACGCUUGUUCUGGCAGCUGCAGGGGAAAAAAGUAUGAUAAUAAAAGAAUCAUAGGGGAAGCUUUGUUUUCACUUCAGGAACUCAGAUGUCCAUUCGGCCUGAGUCUUCUAGUGUAUUACUAGGCUAGUCUAUUACUCUGGGGCAUAGUGGCUCAUUACGUUGGGAUUGCAGUGUGAGGACUGUACCUUUUUUUGGCAUUUCCCAGGGGAGACAGCUGCUGUGGAGCUGCGGGAAGGACACCAGUACCUGCACAAAAAAGCUUGCAGCUACAAGAAAUACUUUAUAUACUUUAUACACUUUAUACAUUUUCAUAUGUAAAUUUUCAUGUAUUUAUAUACUCUAUAUCUUCAAGUCAGCAUCGCUUUCAGUCCUUUUUUUCCCUGCCUUUGCUUUAUGCUUGUUUUUUCUCCCCUGUACAUGUGUUUUCUGAGGUGUUGAUCCCAUGCAAACUAGCUUUACAUCAUCACAGCAAAACUGUAACUGAAAUGGGGACAGUCAACCUUUUAUUUAAUUUUGUGUCUCUGUCUUUUGUUUCUAUGCACCUUGGCAUUUCCUCCACAGGGAAUGAAAAAUCCAUUUCCUGCAAAGAACCCUCCUACUCUUGUACAUUCUCUUCCAUACCUGUCUUAACCACCAUGCUUUAAAAAAAAAUUCAAACUAGUCUUUGAACUGCUCUUUUAUACAUUGCAUAUCACAUAGUGUUUGGGCCUGCCCUAAAAUGAGGUAUACAUACUUUUAAUUGUUAAAUAAAGCAGGACCCCUGUCAGCCUGAUGAUGUUUGUAGGUGUUUUCAAUUUUUUUGCUACAAAGAGGGCCAGAGAUGAAGACACUAAACCUAAACAAGUAAAACUUUGCCUUAAACUUGCAGUAUGUGAAAUACUACUCCGGGGCCCGGAGAAGCGUGUGACUAACCAGCAGAGCUGCAGCCCAGACCGCCAUCUUCAGUUCGGGUAAGGGCGCUGGCGUCAGGCGGCUCCGCGGCACCAUGGCAACGGCGGCCAUGUCGAGCGCGGGCAACCGGCAGGCCGGCAGCAUCCAUGGCGAGUGAGGGCGAAAUGGCCGCC